RNAcentral lists this ribosomal RNA (502 nucleotides) under uncultured bacterium. RNAcentral describes it as "partial 16S ribosomal RNA". It matches the Rfam family "Bacterial small subunit ribosomal RNA", at positions 28 to 523 of the family's 1533-position model. The record is from RNAcentral.
GAUGAACGCUAGCGGCAGGCCUAACACAUGCAAGUCGAGGGGCAGCACAGAAACAGCAAUGUUUUGGUGGCGACCGGCGGACGGGUGCGUAACGCGUAUGCAACCUACCUUUAACAGGGGGAUAACGGAGAGAAAUUUCCACUAAUACCCCAUAACAUCGAUCAAGGCAUCUUGAUUGGUUGAAAACUCCGGUGGUUAAAGAUGGGCAUGCAUUGUAUUAGGUAGUUGGUGAGGUAAUGGCUCACCAAGCCUACGAUACAUAGGGGGACUGAGAGGUUAGCCCCCCACACUGGUACUGAGACACGGACCAGACUCCUGCGGGAGGCAGCAGUGAGGAAUAUUGGUCAAUGGGGGCAACCCUGAACCAGCCAUGCCGCGUGCAGGAAGACGGCUCUAUGAGUUGUAAACUGCUUUUAAACAGGGAUAAAGCACUGUAUGUAUAUUGUGUUGAAGGUACUGUAAGAAUAAGGAUCGGCUAACUCCGUGCCAGCCGCCGCGGUAA